This 189-nucleotide microRNA precursor is filed under the name Amborella trichopoda. Lineage: Eukaryota; Viridiplantae; Streptophyta; Magnoliopsida; Amborellales; Amborellaceae. The record is from RNAcentral.
GGUAUGAAGUUGGUUUUCAUGGGAGGAAGGCGAAGGGGACUCGGUUCGCGUGCGGUGUUGGCACGGUUCAAUCUGACUGCUGCCCUGCUAGUUGUGCAGUAUGGUGGUGCGAUUGAGCCGUGCCAAUAUCACACUCAAUCAGCCAUCGAAUCAAGUCUUCUUCUUCCUCCUCCUCUUCCUCUUCUUAUU